Molecule: long non-coding RNA, 1021 nt
Filed under: Homo sapiens (human)
Lineage: Eukaryota; Metazoa; Chordata; Mammalia; Primates; Hominidae
Description: HSALNT0252867
Source: RNAcentral
UACAGAGUGCUGAUUGGUGUAUUUACAAACCGUUAGCUAGACAUAAAGGUUCUCCAAGUCCCCACUAGACUCAGGAGCCCAGCUGGCUUCACCCAGUGGAUCCUGCACCGGGGCAGCAGGUGGAGCUGCUUGCCCGUCCCGCGCCCUGCGCCUGCACUCCUCAGCCCUUGGGCGGUUGAUGGGACCCUGCGCCGCGGAGAAGGGGGCGGCGCUCGUCGGGUAGGCUCCCGCGCGCAGGAGCCCACGGCGAGGCGGGGGAGGGACUCAGGUAUGGCGGGCUGCAGGUCCCGAGCCCUGCGCCCGCCGGAAGGCAGCUAAGGCCCGGCGAGAAAUCCAUUGCAGCGCCGGUGGGCCGGCACUGCUGGGGGACACGACGCACCCUCCGCAGCUGCUGGCCUGCGCGCUAAGCCCCUCACUGCCUGGGGCCGGCGGGCCGGCCGUCCGCUCAGAGUGCAGGGCCCGGCAAGCCCACGCCCAUCCGGAACUCUAGCUGGCCCGCAAGCGCUGCGCGCAGCCCGUGUUCCCGCCCGAGCCUCUCCCUCCACACCUCCCGGCAAGCUGAGGGAGCUGGCUCCGGCCUCAACCAGCCCAGAGAGGGGCCCCCACAGCGCAGUGGUGGGCUGAAGGGCUCCCUGAGCAUGGCCAGAGCGGAUGCCGAGGCCGAGGAGGCGCCAAGAGCGAGCGAGGGCUGCGAGGACUGCCAGCAAGCUGUCACCUCUCAAUGGGGAAAAGAUGUCAUAAUGAACUGCAAGCAAAUUCCACCAAGAGCUGAUUUAGGCAAAAUCUCCAGAAAAACAUAAAGCUUCAAUAAUGAAUAAAAAAGACCAGAGGAUGCAAAAUUCCACAGGAAUGUCAGAUUUUAUACAACCUCAUAGAGUAAAUGGGAGCAAAGUUAGCAAGAGGUAGAUUGAUUAAGAGUAAUUAUGAAGGGAUGAAAUACCCUCUGACUCUGAAGACACUAAUGUAUUAAUCUGUGGAAUAAGAAAGAACAUACCAGGUAAAACAGAUUUUUGGACUGAGG